RNAcentral lists this long non-coding RNA (1450 nucleotides) under Homo sapiens (human). Its description in RNAcentral is "HSALNT0279779". The record is from RNAcentral. Lineage: Eukaryota; Metazoa; Chordata; Mammalia; Primates; Hominidae.
UUUCUGCUUUCUCAUCCUGAGGAAUUAUUAAGGAAAACCACACCUGUUUCUGUUUUCUCAUCCUGAGGAAUUAUUAAGGAAAACCACACCUGUUUCUGCUUUCUCAUCCUGAGGCAUUAUUAAGGAAAACCACACCUGUUUCUGCUUUCUCACUCGCAGUGAGAGAGUUCCUGGGAGAGAUGCAGUACCCGGAGGGUUCAUUAUCAGCCCCAGCCGCUGAUGCGCUAUCAGCCUGCGGAGGAGGGAGCCCUGGGGCUUCACUAACCACGGGCUGGAGCUGCCACGCACCAGCUCCAGUGAGAUCGGGGUUUUCGUUUUCAUCCAACACUUUCAACCCAGUUUCUGAUGAAAGGGCUUCUUCCAGUCACCAGAGAAACCUGCACUAGGUGACGCUGAAGCCACAGAAGACACUGCAGUGGGAAAACCAGCAUGAGCCGCUGCCCCCAAGGAACCUCGAAGCCCAGGCAGAGGACCAGCCAUCCCAGCCCGCAGGUAAAGUGUGUCACCUGUCAGGUGGGCUUGGGGUGAGUGGGUGGGGGAAGUGUGUGUGCAAAGGGGGUGUGAGUGUGUAUGUGUGUGAGCACAUGAGUGAUGGCUAGUGUGACUGCAUGUCAGGGAGUGUGAACAAGCGUGCGAGGGUUGUGUGCAAGUGCGUAUGCAUAUGAGAAUAUGUGUCUGUGGAUGAGUGCAUUUGAAAGUCUGUGUGUGUGUGGUCAUGAGGGUAAGUUAGUGACUGAAUGCGCAGGAUGUGAGUGUGCAUGGAACACUCAGUGUGUGUGUGGCAAGUGUGUAGGCGUGUGAGGACAGGCAGAAGUGUGUCAGUGUUGUGAUGGGAGUGUGAAUGAGUGUGCAAAAAGGUGAGUGAAUGCAUGGAAGUGUGUGUCAACUAUGAAGGCAUGUAGUGUGUCAGUGUGUGCAGUGCAAGCAUGUGUGGGAAUGAGUGCUUGUUGGUGUGUCCAUAUCCAACGGGUAUGUGUGAAAGCAUGUAAAAGUGUGUGUAGUGUGAUGGUGUGUGGAUGUAUCAGUGUGUAUAAAUGAGAGCAUGUAAAUGUGUAUGUAUGAGUGUUGAGUGUGCAUAUGUGAGGCUGUGCGUGUGAGUGUAACCAUGAGGGUGUGAACGUGCUUAAGUGUAUGUGCGUGUGACAGUGCAAGUGUAGGGGUGUGAUGCAUGUGUGGGUUUGCCAGUGUAUGAGUGUACAUGGUGUGGAUCUGAAUGUGCACAGUGUAAAGGGCAUGAGUGCAAGUGUGUGUGAGUGUAUGUGAAUGAGUGGUAGUGUGCAUGCAUGUGUGAGUGCACGCUCAGAAGCAUGGAUGGGUGCAAGCCUCCCCUACUAACUCCUCCUCCUUCCUGAGAUCAAAAAAGUAUGUGUUUUCUGUGUUUCAAAAAUGUUUUAAAAUUAUGUACUGUAUUUAAUAGCUCUUAUGACUACAGUGUUUUUCUCUCUGCUUA